Molecule: ribosomal RNA, 253 nt
Filed under: uncultured bacterium
Lineage: Bacteria
Description: partial 16S ribosomal RNA
Rfam family: Bacterial small subunit ribosomal RNA
Source: RNAcentral
UACAGAGGAUGCAAGCGUUGUCCGGAAUUAUUGGGCGUAAAGAGCUCGUAGGCGGUUUGUCGCGUCUGCUGUGAAAGCCCGGGGCUUAACCCCGGGUGUGCAGUGGGUACGGGCAGACUAGAGUGCAGUAGGGGAGACUGGAAUUCCUGGUGUAGCGGUGGAAUGCGCAGAUAUCAGGAGGAACACCGAUGGCGAAGGCAGGUCUCUGGGCUGUUACUGACGCUGAGGAGCGAAAGCAUGGGGAGCGAACAGG